Molecule: ribosomal RNA, 253 nt
Filed under: uncultured bacterium
Lineage: Bacteria
Description: partial 16S ribosomal RNA
Rfam family: Bacterial small subunit ribosomal RNA
Source: RNAcentral
UACGUAGGGCGCAAGCGUUGUCCGGAAUUAUUGGGCGUAAAGAGCUCGUAGGUGGCUUGUCGCGUCUGCCGUGAAAGCCCAUGGCUUAACUGUGGGUCUGCGGUGGAUACGGGCAGACUAGAGUGAUGUAGGGGAGACUGGAAUUCCUGGUGUAGCGGUGAAAUGCGCAGAUAUCAGGAAGAACACCCGUGGCUAAGGCGGCUCUCUAGUACGGUACUGACGCUGAGACGCGAAAGCGUGGGGAGCGAACAGG